RNAcentral lists this ribosomal RNA (314 nucleotides) under uncultured bacterium. RNAcentral's name for it is "partial 16S ribosomal RNA". It matches the Rfam family "Bacterial small subunit ribosomal RNA", at positions 499 to 807 of the family's 1533-position model. The record is from RNAcentral.
UUAUAAGAGACAGCAGCAGCCGCGGGAAUACGGAGGGUGCAAGCGUUAAUCGGAAUUACUGGGCGUAAAGCGCACGCAGGCGGUCUGACAAGUCAGAUGUGAAAUCCCCGGGCUUAACCUGGGAACUGCAUUUGAAACUGUCAGGCUGGAGUCUUGUAGAGGGGGGUGGAAUUCCAGGUGUAGCGGUGAAAUGCGUAGAGAUCUGGAGGAAUACCGGUGGCGAAGGCGGCCCCCUGGACAAAGACUGACGCUCAGGUGCGAAAGCGUGGGGAGCAAACAGGAUUAGAUACCCCGGUAGUCCCUGUCUCUUAUAC